This 3528-nucleotide ribosomal RNA is filed under the name Triticum aestivum (bread wheat). Its description in RNAcentral is "partial small subunit ribosomal RNA". The record is from RNAcentral. Lineage: Eukaryota; Viridiplantae; Streptophyta; Magnoliopsida; Poales; Poaceae.
AUGGGGCGAAAGGGGCCCAAGGGGCCCAAGGGGGCCAAGGCGAACGCCGACGCCCUCACGAAGGCCGCCCUGGCCGCCAUGAGCGAGGAGACGACCGUACGCAUCACCACGGUGCUCGAGGACUUCCGCGCCUCCGACGCCCAAGUGCACACAUUCGAACCUAGUCUUACCAAUCAAGAGCGGGCUGCAGUACAUGCUAUGUGUAAAAAGAUGGGCAUGAUAUCAAAGAGUAAAGGGUAUGGGGAACGGCGAUGCCUUUCUGUUUACAAAACUAAAAACACACAGGCGCCUGGUAAAGAAGAAGGCCCUAGCAAACUCGGAUUUUCUGAAGAAGCAAGACAGAUUUUGUUAGAUCUGUUUACACACUAUCCUCCUGAUGAUGCUGAAUUGAAUGGUGAUGCUGUCAAGAAUCCUGGCGAUAAGGCUGCUAAAAUUCGAUGGAAGACAGAUACAGCCUUUUCCAGGCCAGCUAUGCAGAAACAUGAUAUAGCAAAGAAGGUCAAGAUGCUUACGUCGAAAUUAAGUGAUCCUAGACAGUUGAGGAAGAUCGGUGAAGACAGAUCCAAACUUCCGAUUGCAUCCUUCAAAGAUCACAUUUCUUCUACCCUAGAAAAUCACCAGGUGGUUCUUAUUUCUGGAGAAACAGGCUGCGGUAAAACUACCCAGGUUCCGCAAUAUAUCUUAGAUCAUGUGUGGGGCAAGGGUGAAUCAUGUAAGAUCAUUUGUACUCAACCGCGGCGGAUAUCAGCUAUGUCAGUUGCCGAACGAAUCUCUGUUGAAAGAGGAGAGACUGUUGGUGAUACAGUUGGGUACAAGAUACGUUUGGAAUCGAAGGGAGGGAAGAAUUCGUCAAUCAUUUUCUGCACAAAUGGUGUUCUCUUGAGGGUGUUGAUAGGCAGAGUAACUAACAGUUCAAAUAGGCAACGCGCAGCUGAUGAUGUAAUUAUGGGGAUAACACACAUUAUUGUGGAUGAAAUCCAUGAAAGGGAUAGGUUUUCUGAUUUCAUGCUGGCUAUCUUGAGAGAUCUGCUGCCGAUGUAUCCUCAUCUUCAUUUGGUGCUCAUGAGUGCAACGAUUGAUGCUGAGCGGUUUUCACAAUAUUUCAAUGGAUGCCCGGUUAUUCGAGUCCCAGGCCAUACCUAUCCGGUCAAAACUUUCUAUUUGGAGGAUGUGCUUUCUAUUCUGCAAUCUGUAGGUGAUAAUCAUCUUAAUCCUGAAACAAAUGAUCUGGGACUUGACAGUGUGCUAACCGAUGAUUACAAAAGCUCAAUGGAUGAAGCAAUUAGCAUGGCUUUAGCCAGUGAUGAAUUUGAUCUUCUCAUUGAGCUUAUUUCUAUAGAGCAGAACCCAGAAAUCUUCAACUACCAACAUUCAGAGACUGGUGUGACACCUUUGAUGGUUUUUGCCAGGAAGGGUCAGCUUGGGGAUGUCUGUAUGCUUUUAUCAUUUGGUGUGGAUUGUUCUGCACGGGAUCAUGAUGGAAAAUCUGCAUUAGAUUGGGCACAGCAAGAGAAUCAGGUAGAGGCUUAUGAAGUUAUUAAGAAACAUAUGGAUUGUAGUCCUGCAAAAUUACCUGAAGAAAACGAGCUGCUUAAGAAAUACUUGGCCACUAUCAACCCAGAACACAUUGAUACUGUGCUGAUAGAACGGUUGCUUAGAAAAAUAUGUACUGACUCCAAUGAAGGAGCUAUCUUAGUCUUCCUUCCUGGUUGGGAAGAUAUAAAUCAAACACGGGAGAGGUUACUUGCUUCUUCCUUUCGGGAUUCUUCAAAAUUUCUUGUACUGUCACUUCAUUCCAUGAUACCAUCUUCAGAGCAGAAAAAGGUUUUCAAACGUGCACCGGCAGGGGUUCGUAAAAUUAUUCUCUCAACCAACAUAGCGGAGACUGCAGUAACAAUUGAUGAUAUUGUAUUUGUUCUAGAUAGUGGGAGGAUGAAAGAGAAAAGCUAUGAUCCAUACAAUAAUGUGUCUACACUUCAUACUUCUUGGGUAUCUCGAGCUAAUGCAAGACAGCGUGAAGGACGUGCCGGUCGUUGUCAGCCAGGAAUUUGCUAUCAUCUUUACUCUAGAUUUCGAGCAGCCUCGUUGCCAGAAUUCCAAAUUCCUGAAAUUAAGAGGAUGCCUAUUGAAGAGCUGUGUUUGCAGGUCAAACUGCUUGAUCCAAACUCUAAAAUAGAUCUUGGUGCUUUAACUCAAAAUGAACAAUUGACAGAUUUGGGUGAAAAGUUAGGUUCUCUCCCGGUCCAUCCAUCCACAAGCAAGAUGCUCCUGUUUGGUAUAUUGAUGAACUGCCUUGAUCCUGCAUUGACAUUGGCAUGUGCAGCAGACUAUAGAGAUCCUUUCGUCCUUCCUAUGGCUCCGGAUGAGAGAAAAAGGGCUGCUGCAGCCAAGGUUGAGCUUGCUUCAUUAUAUGGUGGAUAUAGUGACCAGCUUGCUGUUGUAGCAGCAUUUGAUUGUUGGACGUGUGCCAAAGAGAAAGGACAAGAAGCUUUGUUUUGUUCAAAGUACUUUGUAGCUUCAAACACCAUGAAUAUGUUGUCUAGUAUGAGGAAACAGCUCCACAGUGAACUAGCUCAAAGAGGAUUUCUUCCUGCUGAUACAUCUGCCUGCAGCUUGAAUGCUAAAGUUCCAGGUAUCAUUAGUGCUGUCCUUGUGGCUGGCGCUUACCCAAUGGUAGGACGAUUGCUCCCUCCUCGCAAAAAUGCUAGAAGGGCAGUUGUGGAAACAGCAAGUGGUGCCAAAGUUCGACUACACCCGCAUUCUUCCAACUUUAACUUGUCAUUUAAUAAAUCCUCUGGGAAUCCACUAAUGGUAUUUGAUGAAAUCACUCGAGGUGAUGGUGGAAUGUAUGUAAAGAACUGUUCAGUUGUUGGAUCAUAUCCUUUACUUCUGCUUGCUACAGAAAUAGCUGUUGCUCCACCUGAUGAUGUAAGUGAUGAGGAUGAUGAAGGUUCCAGUGGGGAUGAAGCGGGAAAAAGCACUCUGGGACAACAAAAGGAAGAGAUCAUGUCUUCUCCCGACAACACUGUUUCAGUUGUUGUUGAUCGGUGGCUCCGAUUUGAUGCUACUGCUCUGGAUGUUGCUCAGAUAUACUGCCUACGAGAACGCCUAGCAUCUGCUAUUCUUUUCAAAGUGAAACAUCCACAGGAUGUUCUCCCGCCUGCUCUUGGAGCAACGAUGUAUGCGAUUGCUUGUAUCCUAUCGUAUGAUGGCUUGCCUGGUAAUUUGGCAACAAAACAUGGUUCAGGUCAGAGCUCAGCAGAUGCUAGCGGAUCAGCUGAGGGAAGGAAAGGUGGUUUUAUUCCGCCUGGUGGUUUCCUUAUGUCAUUGCUAUCGGACAUACCACCCAAUGCACCUCAUCAUCAGAAGUCAUCUAAUCAUCCAGGGGGUGGUUCAGGGCAUAUUAGGUCAUCGAGGGCCCCUGCUGGUAGAUUUAAUCAGUCGCAGCAGCGUCCUGGCCGCAACAGCUCUGGACCAGGGAGUUCAGCAUCACAAUCUUUCAAAAGACAGCGGGACGCUGCACGGUGA